Talpa occidentalis (Iberian mole) is the source of this 693-nucleotide long non-coding RNA. RefSeq lists it as uncharacterized. NCBI's taxonomy places the organism in Eukaryota, Metazoa, Chordata, Mammalia, Eulipotyphla, Talpidae. The record is from RefSeq and is a predicted model, not a curated record. The transcript is spliced from 5 exons.
CAUACACCACGCAGGACUGACAGGCUGUAGCUGCUUUGCCUCGUCACAGGCUGCUCAGCCAGAGCCGCAUCCAGUCUCCCCCUGCCCGCCAGCCCUCGGGCGCCUCCUCCCUUGCCGGGCUGUUACACCGAGUCACUGCCACCGAGGACCCGCAACGAAGACACCCUGUUGCCCAGGGCCCUCAAUGCCACGGCCCUCCUCCCAACACUUCCCCAGAUGAACCCCGCCGGCCUCAGGACCGGCACUUGUGGGAGGCUGAGAACACGCUCGCCUUGUGCUUUCUACAUGUGGAGAGAGACACGCGUGUGAAGAGGGCAGGGGUUUGUGUUGUUCACUGACGUGGUCUGUGUCUGGAGUCCUGCACACUGCAGGAUGAAAUGUCGGCUAAAUAAAUAAAUCCAAUAUCCUGCACAACGGUUUUUCUCAAGCAGUAAGAAAUGGCUGAUUCAAGUCAAGGAGCUUACAGAAAACACCAGAAGAGAAGAACACAUGUAACUCCAGGAAGCAGCAGCCAAAUUCAAAAGGGAGGAAGUGGCAGAAGCCAGGCUAAACAGUUCCGGGAGGACCAGGACAAGUGGACGUGUGCAAUAACUGAGAAACACCAUCAGAACUGCUUUCCCCUGCAUGUCAGGAGUUGAAAUUACAAGGAGCUCCAGUGACUUAAUCCUGCUAAAAUAUUGAAUAAAAUUGCAU